UACAGCCGGUUCGUUUGAGGAGGAGGCAAUGGGCAAUCGAACUAUGCUCUGUCUAAAAACCUAGAUAUCGAUUUGGUUGAAGCGAACUCUGGUGCAGUUCGAAUGGAUUUGUGAACGACAAGCAAGCCAGAGACCGCUACAAAAGCAGGAAGCAGAUUAUAACACAUGGCAUUCUGGGUAAAUGCAGCCCAAGCAAACGCAAGAGUCGAACGCUAGCAGGAGAAAUGGCCUCUGGUCUUUUACCAACAACCAAAGUUAAAUUUUACAACCACUUAAAUCAGACGCUACCCCAUUUUUGUUUACGCUCUCUAAAGUUGCACAGAGAAUUUUAAGUGGGGGAAUUUAUUCAAAAUACUAAUAUUGAUACUUGUAUCACAUCGAUACUAGGGUGGCAGCUGCUGUAGUUUAACAUCCCCACUUGAAAUUUUAAAAUUUUGUAUUGUAGUUUCUCAACUGUACCUUAAAACAGAUUUUGUUUCAAUUUGCUCCCAAAU
Molecule: long non-coding RNA, 494 nt
Organism: Poecilia latipinna (sailfin molly)
Lineage: Eukaryota; Metazoa; Chordata; Actinopteri; Cyprinodontiformes; Poeciliidae
Exons: 4
Source: RefSeq, a predicted model, not a curated record